CGGAUGUAGCCAAGUGGAUCAAGGCAGUGGAUUUGUGA
Molecule: transfer RNA, 38 nt
Filed under: Sicyos baderoa
Lineage: Eukaryota; Viridiplantae; Streptophyta; Magnoliopsida; Cucurbitales; Cucurbitaceae
Also listed under: 2 other names
Description: partial tRNA-His
Source: RNAcentral